Non-coding RNA from Arvicanthis niloticus (Nile rat), 1113 nucleotides. The record is from RefSeq and is a predicted model, not a curated record. Lineage: Eukaryota; Metazoa; Chordata; Mammalia; Rodentia; Muridae.
GGGCGUGGCGCGGGAGGCGCCGUUGGUUGGUGCACGGCUGAGGGCGCGGCGCUGGCGGCGCGGAUGUUUGGGCACGGCCGGCUGGGCCAGGCUAUGGCCCCGCUGCUGUUCCUGGGCAUGUCAGCGGCGCUGGCUCGUGGCUGCCUGCAGUGCGACCGCAAUUUCUCGGAGAAGUUCUCAUUCUACCGUCACCACGUGAACCUCAAGUCCUGGUGGGUGGGUGACAUCCCCGUGUCGGGGGUGCUGCUCUCCGAGUGGAGCCAGAACACGAUGAAGGAGCUCCAUCUGGCCAUCCCCGCCGAGAUCACCCGGAAGAAGCUAAAUCAAGUGGCAGAAGCCGUGUACCAGAGGAUGGACCAGCUGUACCAGGGGAAGAUGUACUUCCCAGGGUAUUUCCCUAAUGAGCUGCGGGCCAUCUUCCGGGAACAAGUUCGCCUCAUCCAGAACGCCAUCAUAGAGAGUGAGCAGUGGGCUUCACCGAGGGGAAUGCUUGUGGCCUCUGGCACUUCAGGGUUCAGGAAGGAGUGGCUCUGCAGGAGGCUCUUUUGCAUAAAUGGUUGCCUGCAUGCCCAUCACUCCUUAUUUCUGUCAAACUGGUCUCAUGGUGGUACCUGGGAACAUUGUAACUUCCCUUCUCUUAGGUUAGCCCUUUUCACUGGGGCCUCCCUGUGGUUCACUUCCUACGCCCAUGAAACUCACAUGCCUGUAAUUCCAGUACCCAGAAACAAGGGAACAAAGCAAAAGAAUUGCCACAGGUCUCUAGGCAGCCUAGGCUACCUCCUCUGUGUCUCGAUAUCCUUGGCUACAAAAACAGAAGUGGGGCUGAGGUGUUGAGCUCUGGGCCUUGUCAGAAGUCACUGUCUUGUUAUUUCCCUCCCCCCCCACACCCCCAGGCCGAAUCGACUGUCAGCGUCACUGUGGUAAGUGAACUAUGGUUCAGGCUGAGGGCCACAGUGGCAGUGGCCAGGCUAGGGAGGGCCCAGGGGAGUCUGGGGCUGCCUCUCAUAUAUUGCAGGCAUCUUCCAGUAUGAGACCAUCUCCUGCAGCAACUGCACAGACUCCCACGUCAUCUGCUUUGGCUACUACUGCAAGUCAUCGGCACAGUGGGAGUCA